AUGCAGGAGAGCGAAUGGAAGGAGAUGAAAUUGUUCAAAAUCCAAGUUGCUAGGAAAUAUAAAACCCUCAAUGACCAGCAAAAAAUUGCUGCUUGUGUAGCAAUGCAUACACUAUGUAUGAGUAAAGGAGACACUUUUUUGGGAACUGCUAAGCAAGACAUUGCAAAUACCUUUGGAGUAGGUGUUUGGAAUAUACAAAGAAUUUGGAGGAAAGCAAUGAAGCAAAUUAGAGAAGGACUAGAGGUGGAUGUUUCUAAUAAAAAAGGAAAUUCUCGAAGAAAGCCUAAGGACAUUAACCUAGAAAAAAUCCUAACGAUCCCAUUAAACAAGAGGUCCACCAUUAGGUUACUUGCUUGGCAACUGGGAUGUAGCCCUACCACACAGAAAGUUCAUGUUAAACUUGAUAAGGAGGCAUACAAACUAUGUGAAGCCAGCUCUACGGGACCAGAAUAA
RNAcentral lists this ribosomal RNA (453 nucleotides) under Triticum aestivum (bread wheat). RNAcentral describes it as "partial small subunit ribosomal RNA". Lineage: Eukaryota; Viridiplantae; Streptophyta; Magnoliopsida; Poales; Poaceae. The record is from RNAcentral.